Molecule: long non-coding RNA, 7406 nt
Filed under: Lathyrus oleraceus (garden pea)
Lineage: Eukaryota; Viridiplantae; Streptophyta; Magnoliopsida; Fabales; Fabaceae
Description: Pisum sativum (pea) long non-coding RNA (PSAT_LNC003261)
Rfam family: tRNA (bases 1956-2027)
Source: RNAcentral
UUUUUAGUAGGGAUUUUCUAGUGUCAGAAUGUUUUCCAUACAUAUCAUUAAAGCACCAUUCUACAUAUCUUAACUUAUAUCGAGGAUCAAAGAUAACACCAAAAUAAAGUAGUUGGUUCAUCUUAGUGAUAUCAACCCAAUAUUUACUAUACUUUUCCAAGAUGUCCCUAGUCACCUCAGCAAACAAUCCAUUCAGGUCCAUGUUUAAUUUCUUAAGCUCAAUGUAGAUGCCACCCAAGUACGGAAAAGCAGUAUGCAAGCUUGCUUUUGUUGAAACAGAAAAAACGUUUGUCGACUCAUAAUAAUUCUUUAAAAACUUAAUAAAAACCCUAAUAUUAUCCGAAUCUUGACUACUAAGGGCAAUCAACCUCAAAUAAAUCCCUAUAGGCUUCAUCCUUACCUUCUAGCUUAUCAAAAGCAGUUUGAAACUUUUCAGCCGCAUCUAACAUCAGAUAUAUCGAGUUCCAUCUGGUUGAAACAUCAAGACAUACUGACGUCUUGCAUGAAAUCCCAACAUAUUCCACACAUUCCUUGAACUUUAAAUCCCUAUGGGGUGAAGAUCUAACAAACCUAAUUGCAUUUCUAACACUUGAAAUUGAGGUGUGGGCUAAUUUUAAUCCAUCUUUCACAACCAGAUUCAGUGGAUGAGCAUAAUACCUCAUGUGAAACCCAAACCCAUCCAUUAAAAGUCUAUUCAUGUUUCUUAUUUUGUGUUCUAAUUAUUUAACAACAACAUCAUUUUAUGAGGCAUUAUCUAUUGCGAUGGUAGAAAUAUUUCUCAGCCCCCACUUCUUCAAAACCUCCUCAAACUUCUUACCAAUAGUUUUACCCCGGUGAUUUAGGAUAAUUGUAAAGUUAAUUAUCCUUUUUGGCAAUGCUAAUCCUUAUCAAUAAAACAGGCAGUGAGGGUCAAGUAAUUUAGAUUUUGGACAGACGUCCAGCAAUUUGUUGUAAUUGCCACCCUACAACAAUGAGACUUAAAGAACGCUUUCAACCUCACUUCCUCAUCAAGAUAUAAUUGGGGGGAAAAACCUAGUUAUGGUUCUCCUUGGCAGUAUAGAAAAUUGGGGUUGCACUUUCCUACAGUACUUGAACCCCUCCCCUUCAACUGUUUUGAAAUGUUUCUCAUCUACAAUGAUCAAAUAAGCCAAUCCAUUUAUGCAAACUACAUGGUUAAACCUAGAACUUAAUGGAACCAACAUAUUUCCCUUAGUUGUUGAAUAUAACAAGAUUGUUUGGAUAGGGUCGAUAGACACGUUCAAUGCAUACUUGAGGCAUGUUUUCAUGUGACUCUUUAAGUUUGAUCUUCCAUGUUUCUUAGAGUCAUGCAUAUACAUUUUGUGGCAGUACUUACAUUCAGCAGUUGGGGGGUCACUAUCAGGAAUAAGGUUAAAGUGAUCCCAUACCUCAGAUCUCUUUAUGUUACCAUUUUCAUCAAGUCUUCUUUUCUUUAGGCCAGUUGGUGGAAGAUUGUGUGUUGUUGUAGUUUGUUGAUUUGGUUGAGAAGGAUCAUUGGCAAUUGGUGUGUGUUGCCCACUUGCUGAAACAAUGAGUAUUAUUAGUUAUAGUUUAUAAUAAAUUAUAAACUUACAGGUAUUUUGUUGAAACAAUGAACAUAAACUAGACUAAAAAAAGCUCCCUCGUUGUGGUUAAGCGUUGAGGAUGGAGGCUUACCGUCAGUGUUCAGUGAAGGAAAGGGUUUGUCAUUCAGUGAGGGAGGAAAGUGAAUGGUGAUGAUGACAGUGGUGUUGGAUUUUUUAGGGUUUGAUUUCAAUUUGGGGGUGACGGUGGCGGUGGAAGCAUUGUUACAUUUUUUAGGGUUAGGUUAGGUUGGAAGAAGAAACGAUUUUUCUAAGAUGGGAAGAAAUGAGACAUGAUAGCGGAAACUGACAUUUAAAACAUGAAAGGAAACAAAUAUUUAUAUAACAAUUAACAGACGAAAAGAUAACAUGAAUGGAUCCUUGGCGCAAUGGUAGCGCGUCUGACUCCAGAUCAGAAGGUUGCGUGUUCGAUUCACGUAGGGUUCAAUUUUCUUUUAUUUUUGGACCUGCUUUUCCUGGCCAGUAAAUUGGCUAAAAAAAACACUACAUAUUCUUCUAUACUAUUUCUCAUAUAUCUUCACUUUUUCUCUCUUACCAUUUAUAUUGUUAUAUAUAAUGUAUUUACACUAUAUGCGAAGAUAAUUUUUUAAAAUAUUUAUUUACAUUGCUUGAUUACAUUUUAUAUUGUCUUGUUUUUAUGUUACAUAAUACUUCUUAUAUUUUUGGUGUGUGGUUGUGAAUUUUUUUCUCCCUCUUUCAUUUAGAUUUAUAGAAUGAUGGGGUAUUUCCCUCAUAGAGAUGUAGGUAUAAAUAAAAUUAUUACAAUUAUUUUGCAUUUUAUUAUAUCUUUAUUGAAAUAGAAUUAGAUUAGGUUAAAAAAUAGAAGAAGUCGGAAAAAAAAUUGGGCUUGAUUAAAAAUUGGGAAGAAGAUGAAGAUGCAUGAGAGCAACAAAAGUUUCUAACAAAUUCUAAUAGAAAGAUGAAAAUCUAUUAUGAUCAAGAUUACACUUUUCAAGCUAAAACUAUACUUGGUUUAUAUACUACUUAAAGCAAAAUGCAAAUCCAAAUAUAAGUUAAAUUAAACUUAAAUGCAAUUGAAAAUGAAUUACAAUCUAACAUUAUCCUUUAAUUCAUAUUCAGCUAAUCAAAAUCAACAGCAUCAAUUCCAUCCUCCAAAUGGAUAAAGUGUUCAGUCUUGAUUGUGUUGGUUAGAAUAUCUUCCAGUUGCUUCUGAGUACUAUAAUGCACAACUUCAAGCACACAAUUCUGAACAUGGUUCCUCAGAAAAUGAAACUUUGUGUCAAUGUGCUUGCUUCUUCCAUGCAUCACUGGAUUCUUGGCAAGGCUUAUAGUUAAUUUGUCGUCAAUCAUUAACUUCACAGACUUGCUCACCUCGAUCUUUAGAUCCUGCAGCAAGUUUAGAAUCCACAUAACUUGACAGGCAAACAAUGCACCUGCAAUGUACUCAGUUUCACAUGUUGACAAUGCAACCACUGGUUGCUUCUUGGAGCACCAAGAAAUAGGACCUCCUAAAUACUUGAAAAGAUAUUCAUAAUUAAUUCUUUUAUCAACUAUGUCUCUACACCAAUCAGAGUCUGAGUAACACAUCAUCUCUGAAUUAGAUUCAACACCAGAAGGGAACAAAACUUCAUACUUCAGAUUACCCUUAACAUACCUCAAUAUCCUAACAACAGAUUGGUAAUGUGACCAUUUUGGCUUGUUCAUAAACCUACUCGUCAUUCCAACUGCAUAGCAAAUAUCAGGUCUGGUAUUACAGAGAUAUCUCAAUGAGCCUACCAACUGUUUAAAAGUUGUAGCAUCUACAUCAUCACCCUCAAUAUCAGAAUCAAUCUUGUGAUUUGUUUCAACAUGUGUGAUUGCAAACUUGCAAUUGAUGAACUCAAAUCUUUUCGAGACCUCAACUCCAUACUUCACUUUAUUCAAUAUUAUACCCUUACCAUAGUACAUAAUCUUCAUCCCUAUAAAAUAUGUCAUAUUUUCUAGAUCAGUCAUCUCAAACUCAUUCAUGAGCACCUUCUUGAACUUAGCUAUCUUAGUCGAACAACUUCCUAUUAGAAAUAUGUCAUCAACAUAGAGACACACCAUAAUCAUAUUUCUAUCAAAUGUAUGUUAAACAUAAACAUCAUACUUUAUCUCACAUUUUAUGAAUCCUUGAAGCUUGAAAAAUGAAUCAAUUUUCAGAUUCCAGGCUCUAAGAGUUUGUUUCAGUCCAUAAAAGGAUUUAUGUAACAUGUACACCAUCCCUUCCUGAUUCUUUUUCAUAAAUCCAGGAGGUUGUGAUACAUAAACUUCCUCUUAUAAAGGACCAUUCAGAAAUGAAGAUUUCAAAUCUAAAUGCAUUAGAGGUCAAUUCAUAUUAGCAACUAUAACAAUAACUGGUCUGAUUGUUUCAUGUCUAGCUAUAGGAGCAAAUACCUCAAAAUAAUUUAGUCCAGAUUUCUAUAGAAAUCCUCUAGCUACUAACCUUACUUUAUGUUUGCCAAUUGAUCCAUCUGGCUUUAGUUUCACCUUCUAAACCCAUCUGACAAAAAUGGAUUUCUUGUUCUUUAGAAGCUCAGUCAACUCCCAAGUCUUAUUUCUUUCUAUAACCUCAAGUACUCCUUUCAUGGACUUCAGCCAUACUUUCUUAUUAAGAGCUUCUUAUAUACUUACUAGUUCAUAUUCCACCAUCAUGGAACACUUAAUGACUUCCUCUUCAGAGUCUAUUUCAGUAUCUUGCAUCAAUUCAAAAUAUGCAAGCCUUCGUGGAAUCUGUCGAAUUCUCUAUGGUCGAGUUUCAGAAGCAGGACCACCUUCAGAAUCUACAACUUCAAAAGCUCCACCUUUAGAAACUAUAACUUCAUAAUCUCCACCUUCAGAAGGUCUAUCUUCAGAGGAUAGAUUAUCACAAAAGUAUGGAUCAUCAUCAGAAUCUUGGUCACCAUCAAAAUCUGAAUCAUUGUUAGAAUCUGAAUCAUCAGAUUCUCCUUUAGAGUCAGACUCAACUUCAGCAUCAGAGUCACCUUCAGACUAUGACUCAUCUUUAGACUCAGAAUCUCCUUCAGCGGCAUAUUCUCCUCUAGAGUUUGAAAUGUCUUUAGAAGUUAACUCAGGUGUUAACACUGAACUAGAGUUGGAUUGAAACUUGUUCCAAUCCCAUGCUUUUGAUUCUUUAACACUAACAUCUUUAUUGAACUCAACUUUGUUAGUGACAUGACAGUGGAUCUUAUAAGCACAUGUAUUAUGGUACCCUACAAGCAACAUGACUCUACUUCUGUCAUCUAACUUCAUUCUCUUAACAUCUGGAACAUGUUUAUAACAAAUAGAGCCAACCAAAUUCAGAUGGCUCACACUUUGCUUGUCUCCAGUCCAAUUCUGAAUAGGAACUAUUUCCUUCAUCUUCUUAGCUGGACACUUAUUGAGCACAUAUGAUGCAGUGGCAACAAUUUCUCCCUACAAGGUGUGAGAAAACUUCUUCUCCUUCAGCAUGCUCAUUGCCAUAUCAAGCAAAGUUAUGUUUCUUCUUUCAACAAGACCAUUGUGUCGAGGAGUGUAUGGAGCAGUAACCUCGUCUUCAAUUCCAUUCUCCUUACAAAACUUCUUUAAAUCUAUAGUGUCGCACCUCGAAAAAUGGGGAUAUGACUUCAAAGCGAAACGCGGUCGUACGCUCGCAAUGAUGGACUGAACAGAGUCGCCACCAAACUUUAUUUAUUCCCAAAAAUGGGAAAAGGAAAAUAUCGAUAAAACCCCUAAAAGAAAGGAUAAGAUAUGGUCAUCGCAACCAAUAUCAGGGUUCGGGAGUAGAUUACGCAAGAGGAAGGUAUUAGCACCCCUCACGUCCGUUGUACUCAACGGGAACCAUUAGGUUAGUUGUGUGCGUUAGUGUCAGUUGAAAUAUUAGGCUUUUCGAAUUAUUAGGUGGGAAAGAAAGAAAGGAUGAGAUGAGAGGAGAAUGUUUUUGGAUUUUUGACGAAGGGCUAAACUUAAGUUUUUAUUAAUGGGCCUGAACAGAUUUACGAAUCCUGCUCCUACGUCUCAAAAGAGAAAUCAAGGCUUACGUAGUUCUGGGUAGAAAAAUGUUUGUUUUGUGUCGAUUUAGCNNNNNNNNNNNNNNNNNNNNNNNNNCCUGUGCACUGUUUCCAUUGGCUGAGAGCAAUAGGAACAUUUCCUUGCCUCUGCCCAAAACCACCGUUUUGAUUAAUGAGGGGUUUAAUUACAAAUAUGCCACGGUUGACCCAUCGCUUUGACCCUCUGCUCCUUGCUAUGUGCUUCUUGUUUCAUCAAUUUUGGUGCAUCAACCUUCAACAAUUAAUUUCUCAUCCAUUUCAACUCCAAAAAUUCUGAUUUUUUUUGCAUCCUGUUCACAAGAAAGUCUAGUAUUUGAUUGUGAUUUUUAAUUAAUUUCCAUUGGCUGGAUUUUAAUGAUAAUUAUUUUCUUGACAUGUAUGCAUAAUUGAUCAUUGUGCCAUUCCUUUUGUGAGAUUGUCAUGACAUAUCCAAUGAGCUUGAAAUUUUUUGUGGUAAACUAGACUCAUUCAUCUUCAUUUUGGUAUAAAGAUUGUGCUUUAUCAUUUGUGGUUUGCUAGAUAUGAUUUUUUGAACUAGGGUGUGACAAUUUGUGUCACACCAAUGAUGUGCAUCUUCUUGAUUUUGUUCACAUGUCUCCUGGCCUCCAAAUUGAUCUCAAAUUUUGCAUGAAUGAUCUAUCAAUGUCUAGUUUGUGUAUGAAUUUUCUUGGAAUUAAUCAUGCUGUUUUCCAUUUGAUUGUGAAUUUUUCCAUGCUUAGUCAUUUGUGGACUUUAUGUGAUACACAUUGCCAAAUCUUUUGUGAAAUUCUCAAAUCUUAUUGUAUGACCAUGAAAUCAUAUGUGAUAACUAGACAUCUUGACCUUUGCAUUGGUGUUAACCUCAUUCAUUUCUCUUCUGUUUUCAAUUGAUAUGAUUUUUUGAAGUUGACCCAUGCUUGUUGACUUUCAUUAUGCUUAUUUGAAUUUGGUUUGACUUCAUGAUUUUAAUUGACUGCCUUCCUCUAAUCCAAAUGCAAUGAAAUUUGACAUGCUUGCCAUGCUAGGUGUUAGGAUUGAAUGUGAUUUAUUUGAUAAUUUUUGAGAUUGUUUGGGUUGACUUUUGAAUGAAGUCUUGCUGUUGACCUUUUUGUAUGCUUCUCUUGCCAUGCUUUGCAUUCCUUGGUGUAUGAAAUGACAAUGGUGCAUGAUUUGAUUAUGAAUCAAUUGAGAUUGCUUCUUAAUGUUUGAACAUGAAUGGGUUGACUUUCCUUUGGCUGUUGACUUUUUUUUUCAUCUUUGACCUAGGCUAGCCCUAGUGGCUUUUGAGCUUACAAUUGAGCUAUUGUUUCAGGUUAGCACCAUGCUCAAAGAUCACAUUUAAAUUUGAUGAGUUGAUUAUAUAUCAUGUGCUAACCCUUGUUUUGUAGGUGGACUCAUAUACUUGAAGUCUGUGCUAUGCACAUUGGUCCCUCUGUGGUUGACUGUUGUUUCAUUUUCCUUUGAUUUGAACUGUUAACUUGUCUACUAAUAAAUUUGACUUUUAGGUACUUAGUUGCUUAAGUUCUUUGAACUUGUUGCUUUGCUAUUGCAUUUGCUUUGAGGUAUAAUUACUUCUUCUUCAUGUAGUCUGGAGACCGGUCUGUUAUUUGACCGGGCAAACUGUCUGAAGUCCUCCUUAAGAGGCAAUGCCUGUGUGUGUUUAAAAUUGUCCCAAGCAGGAAAAGUCCUUCAGUAGGCAAUUGGUGAAGGUAGGGAUAAGCAAUCUAUCCCCCACUAUUCAGUGUGUCCUCUCUUUGCUCCCAUUACAUGGUUGAAGCAUUGAGAUAAAACCCAAGAUCUAAUCGAGUCAAUAAAGGGG